RNAcentral lists this ribosomal RNA (778 nucleotides) under uncultured Methylophilaceae bacterium. Its description in RNAcentral is "bacterial SSU rRNA". It matches the Rfam family "Bacterial small subunit ribosomal RNA", at positions 97 to 870 of the family's 1533-position model. Lineage: Bacteria; Pseudomonadati; Pseudomonadota; Betaproteobacteria; Nitrosomonadales; Methylophilaceae. The record is from RNAcentral.
GGCGAACGGGUGAGUAAUAUAUCGGAACGUGUCCAAUAAUGGGGGAUAACGAGUCGAAAGAUUCGCUAAUACCGCAUACGCCCUACGGGGGAAAGCAGGGGAUCGUAAGACCUUGCGUUAAUGGAGCGGCCGAUAUCUGAUUAGCUAGUUGGUGAGGUAAAGGCUCACCAAGGCGACGAUCAGUAGCUGGUUUGAGAGAACGACCAGCCACACUGGAACUGAGACACGGUCCAGACUCCUACGGGAGGCAGCAGUGGGGAAUUUUGGACAAUGGGGGCAACCCUGAUCCAGCCAUUCCGCGUGAGUGAAGAAGGCCUUCGGGUUGUAAAGCUCUUUCGCAAGGGAAGAAAACUUAUGAUCGAAUAAAUCAUGAGGUUGACGGUACCUUGAUAAGAAGCACCGGCUAACUACGUGCCAGCAGCCGCGGUAAUACGUAGGGUGCGAGCGUUAAUCGGAAUUACUGGGCGUAAAGCGUGCGCAGGCGGUUUUGUAAGUCGGAUGUGAAAUCCCCGGGCUCAACCUGGGAACUGCGUUCGAAACUGCAAGGCUAGAGUGUGUCAGAGGGGGGUAGAAUUCCACGUGUAGCAGUGAAAUGCGUAGAGAUGUGGAGGAAUACCAAUGGCGAAGGCAGCCCCCUGGGAUAACACUGACGCUCAUGCACGAAAGCGUGGGGAGCAAACAGGAUUAGAUACCCUGGUAGUCCACGCCCUAAACGAUGUCAACUAGUUGUUGGUAGAGUAAAAUCUAUGAGUAACGUAGCUAACGCGUGAAGUUGACC